CUUAAAUUGAAGAGUUUGAUCAUGGCUCAGAUUGAACGCUGGCGGCAGGCCUAACACAUGCAAGUCGAGCGGAAACGAGUUAUCUGAACCUUCGGGGGACGAUAACGGCGUCGAGCGGCGGACGGGUGAGUAAUGCCUAGGAAAUUGCCCUGAUGUGGGGGAUAACCAUUGGAAACGAUGGCUAAUACCGCAU
RNAcentral lists this ribosomal RNA (193 nucleotides) under Vibrio parahaemolyticus. Its description in RNAcentral is "partial 16S ribosomal RNA". It matches the Rfam family "Bacterial small subunit ribosomal RNA", at positions 1 to 174 of the family's 1533-position model. The record is from RNAcentral. Lineage: Bacteria; Pseudomonadati; Pseudomonadota; Gammaproteobacteria; Vibrionales; Vibrionaceae.